Molecule: ribosomal RNA, 376 nt
Filed under: uncultured organism
Description: partial 16S ribosomal RNA
Rfam family: Bacterial small subunit ribosomal RNA
Source: RNAcentral
GUAGGUGGCAAGCGUUGUCCGGGAAUUAUUGGGGCGUAAAGCGCGCGCAGGUGGUUCUUUAAGUCUGAUGUGAAAGCCCCCGGGCUCAACCGGGGGAGGGGUCAUUGGAAACUGGGGAACUUGAGUGCAGGAGAGGAAAGUGGAAUUCCACGUGUAGCGGUGAAAUGCGUAGAUAUGUGGAGGAACACCAGUGGCGAAGGCGACUUUCUGGCCUGUAACUGACACUGAGGCGCGAAAGCGUGGGGAGCAAACAGGAUUAGAUACCCUGGUAGUCCACGCCGUAAACGAUGAGUGCUAAGUGUUGGGGGUCUCCGCCCCUCAGUGCUGCAGCUAACGCAUUAAGCACUCCGCCUGGGGAGUACGGUCGCAAAGACUG